RNAcentral lists this ribosomal RNA (378 nucleotides) under uncultured eukaryote. RNAcentral describes it as "partial 18S ribosomal RNA". It matches the Rfam family "Eukaryotic small subunit ribosomal RNA", at positions 592 to 976 of the family's 1831-position model. The record is from RNAcentral.
CAAUAGCGUAUAUUAAAGUUGUUGCAGUUAAAAAGCUCGUAGUUGGAUUUCGGGUGGGACGCAGCGGUCUCGCAUUGCGUUUGUACUGCUGCAGCCCUCCUUCUUGCCGGGGGCGGCCUCGCGGACUUCACUGUCUGGGGGUCAGAAUCGGCGAUGUUACUUUGAGUAAAUUAGAGUGUUCAAAGCAAGCUUACGCUCUGAAUAUAAUAGCAUGGGAUAACACGACAGGACUCUGGCCUAUCGUGUUGGUCUAUAGGACCAGAGUAAUGAUUAAGAGGGACAGUCGGGGGCAUUCGUAUUCCGUUGUCAGAGGUGAAAUUCUUGGAUUUAUGAAAGACGAACUUCUGCGAAAGCAUUUGUCAAGGAUGUUUUCAUUAA